RNAcentral lists this ribosomal RNA (460 nucleotides) under uncultured Porphyromonas sp. RNAcentral describes it as "bacterial SSU rRNA". It matches the Rfam family "Bacterial small subunit ribosomal RNA", at positions 338 to 795 of the family's 1533-position model. Lineage: Bacteria; Pseudomonadati; Bacteroidota; Bacteroidia; Bacteroidales; Porphyromonadaceae. The record is from RNAcentral.
CCUACGGGCGGCAGCAGUGGGGAAUAUUGCACAAUGGGCGCGAGCCUGAACCAGCCAAGUCGCGUGAAGGAUGACUGUCUUAUGGAUUGUAAACUUCUUUUGUAGGGGAAUAAAGAAUGGUACGUGUACCAUAGUGAAUGUACCCUACGAAUAAGCAUCGGCUAACUCCGUGCCAGCAGCCGCGGUAAUACGGAGGAUGCGAGCGUUAUCCGGAUUUAUUGGGUUUAAAGGGUGCGUAGGCGGCCUGUUAAGUCAGCGGUGAAAUCUAGGGGCUUAACUCCUAAAUUGCCAUUGAUACUGGUGGGCUUGAGUGUAGAUGAGGUAGGCGGAAUGCGUGGUGUAGCGGUGGAAUGCAUAGAUAUCACGCAGAACUCCAAUUGCGAAGGCAGCUUACUAAGGUACAACUGACGCUGAAGCACGAAAGCGUGGGUAUCAAACAGGAUUAGAUACCCCAGUAGUC